GAUACUCGACUUCUUGAUGAACACACAAGAAGACUCGAAGCUAAAUCACUAUUCAAUAAUGUAGAAGAAAAUGAAUAGGGAAGAAGGAAGAAGAAGAUGAAUGAGAAGAAGAAGAUGAAUUCAAUCACCAAAACAACCUAAACCAAAACCUAAACAAACUCCAAGAACAAGAGAAAUCUUGGACGGCCAAAGGACUAACUUGUUCUUUGGAAGAGAAACCCUAUUUAUACUUAGGGUUGGAAACCAAGGAAAAUGGGCCGAAAUAGUGAAAACCCACAUUGGACGUACGUACGUCGAUAUGACGUUCGUACGUCUCAAACCGAAAUACACCUGCUGACUACUUGGACGUACGAACGUCCUAAGAAGGUACGUACGUCCAGACCAAACAAACUUCCUGCUGACAUACCAUACGUACGUACGUCCUGAAGAGGUACGUACGUCCUGAACCAAAUACCAUACUUGAGACACACGACGCGAAGACAAGGACACGGGACGACGCGCGUACAACAAAGUUUUCUUAACAAUGAACUCAAGGCGAAAUAACCAAGGACGACCAAUGUCACAAAAUUGAUGUCAAACCACUUCGUGCCGGUUUCAAUCUCCCCCUUUGACAUUGAUUUUGUGACAAAAACCUAUGACUCUAAUAGCACUUAUAAAACGUGCUUACAAACCCAAACCAUGGCAUUUAUAAAACAUGCCUACAAAAUCACUCAAGGUAGAACACAUACCAAGUCACCAAUUCUUGUUAUCCAGCUUGAGCAAGACGCUUUAACCAUCAGAGACCGAACGGAAGCAACUAAGAAUUUCCGAAACAAUCAAGGAAUCAACAGAAGUUCCUUCGAGCAAUUCCCCCAUACUUCAUGAGCUCCAAAAUUUUGACACUCGAGCUCCCCUAUAACUGUACAACCUCUAAUCAUCAACACGUUCACUCCCCCAUACUUGUAGGAUACCUGCAACAUGACCCAAGAAUACACUAACAAAGGAAGAAACGAAUGUUAGUAUUAGAGUCAUAAAUCUCCCCCAUUUUGUCACAAAUGAAGCAAGGUAACAAAAGAAAGAGAAAAGAAAAAAAUACCAAACCAUAACAAAUAAGAUUAAAGAAGAAAAGAAAGAGAACAAUCAUGUUAACAACAAAAAGGAUAUCCAACGGAAGCCAUAACAUAAACACUUGUUAACGCGAUGUCAAUACAAAGAAUUCUCUCCCAAAACAAAAGCUUCUCCUAAAUGCAAUGCAUAUGAGAAAGAUGCACCUAGAACAAACAAACCAAAUAAGGAUAUUUGAAACACACAAAGAACCAAACAUACAAGGGUAGAAGAGAGUAAAGAGAAAACCAUACCAUAAAUCUGGAAUCCAUGACGCACAAAACUAAAAAACAUGAGAGAGAUCUAGACAUAUAAAUGAAGAAGAAAGAGUACCAACACAGACACAAGAAGGAAGAUUAGAUAAGACCCAAAACGAGAUAAGAAGGAGAUAGUGAAAAGACACUGAAUACUUAUAUAGGUAACAGAGGGAAGAAAAGAAAACAUAACAUGAAUCCCUGAUAGAAACCAAGAGAAACCUAUACUUAGAAGAAAGAGUCAGGACACCAACAAUCAGAACAAAUGAUUCACUAGAAUAUCACUUUAAACAACCGACCAUAACCACCUGAGAUAGACUCCAGAGAGACUACUUCAUAGUAGGAAGAUAUCUAGAGAAAAAGAGCAAACAAACAAAAAGGAAGGAAUACCAUACCCGAUGAAAUCGGCAACGUACAAUAAUGACCAAGAACCGAAUAGUCAAACCUGUGAGAAAUGUGCAAGAAAAGAAUAUGCGAAAAGAGAAAGAAGAAGAGAUAAACAAUAGUUAGUAGGAAAUAUGAAAGAGAAUAGGGAAACCAUGCUUACUAGACACAUCCAACAAUAUCCCAUGACAAAACUACAGGAAUAUGAGUAUCUGCAGGAAGAGAUAUGUAAAGUAGAAGAAAAUCCAUUGAGAAUCCAUGGGGAAAUCCAAUCUGUACAUGUUCCUGUAAGCCCACCCUAGUGAAACCCAACAAUUAGUUCAACAUAUGCCAAACAAGAUAAGCAAUCAUCAAGCUCAUAAAAAGAAAUGCUUUAAUCUGAAGAAUUAGCAAGGAUUAACGAUUUCACCAAGUCACAAAACAACAAUCCAACUUCAGAGCAAAUUUCCUGCCAGAACACUAAGACUCCGAUGACAUGCCAUACAUUGUCAGAAAGAUUAGAGAGUCAAUAGAAGAGAAUUGCUAACAGUAGAUGACCGAACAGAGCAUAUGCAUCCCAAAGUAGAGCAGUGGUAGCCCAAAACCAUUGCAUGAGGAUUAUUACAGAAAACUACCAAGAACACAUCUAAUCAAACCUAUUGCAGGAAAAAAUAGGAUCAACCAGACACAAGAAGCAACAAUAAGAGGAUAGGCAAGUCUCAUAAGUAUUUAAUCACACACCAGCUAGCCAACAAGGUAAUUCAAGAAUAUUAUCCCAACAUAGAAAAGUAUGAUGAGAACCUAUGAGAAAAACAUGAAGCAGUAUAAAUCAUGACAAACGAAUACACCAAUAACAUGAUUUCAUCACCAAAAUAUGCUUAUGCAUACCUUGUAGCUUUCUUAAAACAAAUUGAGAACUAUUACCUUGAGAAAUCACAUCAAACACAUGUGAGCCAAUGACAAAAAUAGAAAGCAUGAAGUGUAAAACCAAAUAAUACUAACAAUCUGACCUUAGUAUGUCAAGGAAACACCGACUGAAAAGAAUUACCAAGGAUGGAACCAAAAUAGAGUAAGCCAGAAACACUUUCAGCAAGAACAUCCGCCUGUAAAGUUACUGAGAGAAAAAUAAAGUUGACGACACGCACAUUGUCCAUGAACUCCUUUGAGCACGAGGAGGACGUGUGCCCGAUGACAAAGCACCCUUGGAACCGGGUGUUUCCUUAGUUGGAGUAGUGCAAGCGUGCUUAGGAAGCAUGGCCUGCACACACACAACAUUAUAACACCACACAAGUAAGUAAAACCAACAAAACAACCAAGAAAAACCUUAGGAAACCCAUUGAGGCAUUUCACCAAACACUUGGUGAGCAAUACAGGACAUAUAGGCAAAAACACUACAUGAGCUUACCAAAAUGAUACUAAACAUGUCCAUGAAACUCCACAACCAUUAAUAAUCACAAGAAGUUCCAAAAAGCAUCUAGACAACAAGUAUAUAUCCAAUGGUAUGAACCCAAUAUGAUCAUGGUAAACAAGCUCAUAAUCCAAAGCAUAACCGACAAAUAAUAAUGAAGUAUCAAGAGAAGAACAGAGAGUAAUAAGAGCUUCCUAAACAGUUAGAAGGGGAUAAAAAACUUCUCUUGUUCGUGCUUAGAGAAUAUAUGCACGAUUUGAAUUUAGUUGGCAAGAAUUUCAAACAGAUGGGCUGGAGAAGAAAACAAUUUGGGCCGUUACUGUUCAGAGGACGUACGUGCGUCUUUAGUACGUUCGUACGUCGGAAUACAAGAAAAAAACCUUGCUGCCUGAACAUGCGUACGAACGUUAUAACACCGUUCGUACGUUCCUCCAAAAAAAAACAUCUGCCUCCACAAACAUUCGAAUGUGCUAAUAACGUUCGUACUUUUUUUUUUUUUUUUUUUUAACAGAAAAGCAAACCAAAUGACAAACAACACAAACCAUAAUAAGAAGAGAAAAGGAAAAAAAAAACCGAUGUACCAUAGAAGUGAAGAGGAAUACAUCAUGAACUUCCAAAAACAGUAGCCAAUCCCAAUCCGUACAAAAAUGAGAGGCAAUAUAUGGGGAUAAACAAAAGAUUGAACAAAUAAGAGAAUUGAAGUGCAUCAUAAACUAAACCUCGGUGUGUAGAUGCAAUGCAAUGCAUAAAGAGAGAUAAAGUUCACCACUAGAACACACCCUUUGAAGACCUAGAAUAUAGAACCAUCAACAAGAGACAUACGAUUAGCAAGUGAGCUUAGAAGAAACAAACUUCAAUCCCCUUUGAAACAAACAAUAUGAGUGGAAGACAAACGAAUAUAAAUAUGAACUUUCAAACAAAAACCAAGAUAUCCAAAAGGCAAAGGAAUAUAAACUUUGUAUGCCUUACAUAAAAAAAAACAAUGAAUAUGCGCUUGGAUUUUUAUUUUGCCGCAUGUGGUGGAGUUUAGUCUUCAUCACUAAUGUCAUUCCCGCGUGGGAGGGAUUUUUGCCUCCAUCUUUUCAAAUACACGAGGGUAGGGUGUAGCCUACAUCUUUUUGACAAACACAAACUCAAGAAGUGCAAUACCAUGAUAACGUGCAACACAAGAACUAACAUCUCUUGAGUGCAUCCGUCAGAGCAUGACCCUCACAACCCCAACGGGUUCUUAGCCAACUGAUAUUGCUUCAAAGACAAUCAAAUGGCUGGGGAUAAGGUGAGUCAUUGACCACUAAUAAGAGUUGUAAUAGGAAGAUAAGAAUGUUCAAUAACACGAACAACAAGAUGAACAUUAACCAAAACAAAGGAGAGAUAGCUCAAGAUAACAUAAAUACUUGAGAGAUAGAGAAGUUCUAUGAGCUCAAAGAAUAUGUAAGUGGUUUCCAAAAACUCCCAUCAUGCAAGCAUGCCGUGCACUGUGCAAACAAGCGAGGAAAAAUGCAUGAUACAUACCAAAACAUACUUAAGAGUUCAGAAAGAGAAAACAACCAAACAUAUUGCAACUUAUUUAAGACAAUUGAAUUAAACCAAUAUCUCAGAAAAGAUGCAACCAACAACACAUACAUGGAAUAAAUAAAGAAAAAUAGAAGGAAUAACCAACAAUGUAUUCAGACAUGCAACAUGAUCUGCAAGCUAAACAAACAAAGCAUAAAAAGUAGAAACACCAAACAAAUAGCCUAUGUGGUUAGAGAAAUAUGCAAUUCAAAUAACACAAGGCUAGAAACAACCUACAUCAUCCCAAAUAUGGGACACCACCAGACCUUUGCAAGUCCAGAAAAACCUUCAACUUAUCCUUUCUUAUCCAUACUUGUUUAACACUAGGCGUGCACACCUUGGAAGUUGAAAAGAUAUGAGAUUUCUCCUUAACCAGCUUUGCAAUACACUUAUCCUUAACUAAUUCCACCUUAGGCUUAGACUUCCUUUUGUUGGAAUACCUGUUUUUCUUAAACCUGUGAUGAGAACCAUUAUAAUUCCAAGGUCUAGAAAAGGCACAAGAAGAAACAUUAGAAUCAACAUGAUUAUAAUGAUUAGGAACACGAGAAUAGGAUGCAUCAUGUUGAUUAAAAUCCCAACAAAAAAUAUUCAAAUGACCAACCCUACCACAAUAAGAACAAUGAAAAACAUUAGACUUACUCAAAGAAUUCUUAUAAGAAGAUGUGGUAGUGGUGGAUAAACCAUGUAUGUCACUAUUUGGUUUAUGACAUUGUCGUUUAACAAAACCCAUACCUCCCCUAUUAGAACAAGAUGGCUUACUAGCAAAAGCAACCUUAUCAUUAGCCUUAGACUUAAACUUUGUGCAAGAAACAUGCUGAAAACUAUUAGUAUUAAGUCUAGUCUCAAUAGGCGGGGUAGGCAAAAGAGCAGGCAAACUAGAUUUUACAGAAGUAGUCACACUAGAUGAACGAGUAGAACUAGCAAUAGGAGAGUCAAAUCUAGUUUUGUCCAAAACCUGCAAUUGGAGUUGAGUAGACGUUAAACCAUUCUUUGUUACCUCAUACUCCACCAAUAGAGAUUUGUAUUUCUCAUCGACCUCCUGAUUGGCCUUCUCUAAAGCUGCAAUUCUACAUAACAAGUCAAGUUUUUCUUUGUCAAAUAAUUGAGAAAUAGAGAUUUCAUCAUCUGCAACACAAGAAAUUUGUUUUUCAAGAAUCUCAAUUUUAUCCUGCAAAGAAAGAUUAGCCUUUUCCAAAUUUUCAAUUUUGGAUUCAUAAACUUCCCCUUGAAGCAUAUAGUCUUCUGCACAAUGUCUGAGUCGUUGUUCUAGAGAAUCAACCUUAUUCUGCAAAACACCAUUAUCUUCAAAACAAAAAUUAUCAGAAGUAGUAGACAAAUUACAAUUAGCUUUAUUAAACUUUUCCUGCAAAUCAACAUUAGCUUUUUGUAAUCUUUCACAUUCUUUUGCAGAAAGUCUGUAAAGAAGAGCCCAAUUAUUAUUGUCAACCAGAAUCAAAUCCCUGUCACAGUCACUAGAGCAUUCUUUACUAGCAGUUGAUUGUUCAUCAGACAAUCGAGCAACAACCGAGACAUAUGUCUUACCAGAGUAACUCAUAGCACUAUUGAUCGUUAGCGUGAGCCUUUACGCUCCUUAACCAGCCCCCAGCGACUGAUACCAAUUGUAAAACUACAAAUAGUGCUAAUCUAACAAUUGAAUAUUCAACCAAAUCAAACAAUACGCAGAAAGUAAAUAACACACAGGAAUUUUUAACGUGGUAAAACCCAAUAUGGGAAACGUCCACGGUUGUCCUCGCGACAACAAAUAAAUCCACUAGAUGAGAAAGAGAUUUACAAACCUAUCAACUACCUGCAAUCACUCCGAGUUGACACUCCUGGUUAUCUCUAACACCUUGACUUUACCAGAGCACCUUGAUGUACGCACAAGACACUCGACUUCUUGAUGAACACACAAGAAGACUCGAAGCCGAUCUAUGUAACAAGCUUAAACCAGAGUUCCUUGAUGAACACACAAGGAUACUCGACUUCUUGAUGAACACACAAGAAGACUCGAAGCUAAAUCACUAUUCAAUAAUGUAGAAGAAAAUGAAUAGGGAAGAAGGAAGAAGAAGAUGAAUGAGAAGAAGAAGAUGAGUUCAAUCACCAAAACAACCUAAACCAAAACCUAAACAAACUCCAAGAACAAGAGAAAUCUUGGACGGCCAAAGGACUAACUUGUUCUUUGGAAGAGAAACCCUAUUUAUACUUAGGGUUGAAAACCAAGGAAAAUGGGCCGAAAUAGUGAAAACCCACAUUGGACGUACGUAUGUCGAUAUGACGUUCGUACGUCUCAAACCGAAAUACACCUGCUGACUACUUGGACGUACGAACGUCCUAAGAAGGUACGUACGUCCAGACCAAACAAACUUCCUGCUGACAUACCAUACGUACGUACGUCCUGAAGAGGUACGUACGUCCUGAACCAAACACCAUACUUGAGACACACGACGCGAAGACAAGGACACGGGACGACGCGCGUACAACAAAGUUUUCUUAACAAUGAACUCAAGGCGAAAUAACCAAGGACGACCAAUGUCACAAAAUUGAUGUCAAACCACUUCGUGCCGGUUUCAAGGUGGGCUGCCAAUAUUGCUCUCUGUAUGAUUUCCUCUCAUAUACAGAUUUUUACACUUAGAAAAAUGGCCUAUUACAGGAUCAGGUAGCCAAGAUUGAAGACUAAACCUCAUGGAACAUGCAUGAGAGGAGACCAACUUUGCAAUGGGAGCAAGAACAAUGGGACCAGCUGUUGACUUUGCUCAGACAACAGAGAUUAAGCAAUGAUCCUGACAACUGGAUAUGGUGCCCUACAAGUAAGGAGUCUUUCACAGUCAAAAGUUUUGAUGAUAAACUUGAAGAAGAAAGGAGAGCCCUCAAUGCUGCUACACUGCCUGGUUUCCCUUACAACUUGGUAGGGUCUACUGAUAUCCCUUGUAAGAUCAAAUUUUUUUUUUCUGGUGCUUUGUACAAGGUAGAAUCCAAACCACGGAUCACCUUGUCAGAAGAGGAAUGGACCUGCCUGACGUAUGCAUUGUCUCUAAGCAGUACCCUGAAACUGCUACACACUUCACUGGUUGUAAGGGUACUGGAGAAAUGGCCAAGGCAUAGGAGAAAAGGGAUCGGAGCAAACUUACUAAGUCUCUUACCUUAUGCAAUUAUGUGGAAUGUAUGGCUCACAAGGAAUGAUUACAUCUUCAAAGUGAAGCCGCCUAAUCUCGACAAACUCUGAAGCAGAAUUAAGCUUCUCUGUAGUUCUGGAUUGGAGGUAGAGCUCUGAACAAAUAUUAUACCUAUGCAUGCAGAUCUGACCAACAACUGGGAGUUAAUGCUGCUGCUGUAAUUGUCGAUUGUAAUUUGCUUUGGUUAUGUACACACUCAAGAGUUGUGAACUAUAAUACUAUAUGCAGUGAAUCUCUCUCUCAGUCAUCUUGUUACCAUCAAUUAAAAGCGCCAAUUUAUCUAAAAAAGAAACCCUCAGACAUAGCAAUUUCAAUUCAC
Molecule: long non-coding RNA, 8154 nt
Filed under: Aquilegia coerulea
Lineage: Eukaryota; Viridiplantae; Streptophyta; Magnoliopsida; Ranunculales; Ranunculaceae
Description: long non-coding RNA (ACOE_LNC002193)
Source: RNAcentral